CAAUAGCGUAUAUUAAAGUUGUUGCAGUUAAAACGCUCGUAGUCGGAUUUCGGGGCGGGUCCGCCGGUCUGCCGAUGGGUACGCACUGGCGGGCGCGUCCUUCCUUCCGGAGACUGGCCCUACUCUUAGCUGAGCGGGGUCGGGAGUCGGAUCGUUUACUUUGAAAAAAUCAGAGUGUUUCAAGCAGGCAGCUCGCUCUUGCAUGGAUUAGCAUGGGAUAAUGAAAUAGGACUUUGGUGCUAUUUUGUUGGUUUCGAACACCGAAGUAAUGAUUAACAGGGACAGUCAGGGGCACUCGUAUUCCGCCGAGAGAGGUGAAAUUCUCAGACCAGCGGAAGACGAACCACUGCGAANGNAUUUGCNAGGGAUGUUUNCACUG
Molecule: ribosomal RNA, 379 nt
Filed under: uncultured eukaryote
Lineage: Eukaryota
Description: partial 18S ribosomal RNA
Rfam family: Eukaryotic small subunit ribosomal RNA
Source: RNAcentral